RNAcentral lists this ribosomal RNA (253 nucleotides) under uncultured bacterium. Its description in RNAcentral is "partial 16S ribosomal RNA". It matches the Rfam family "Bacterial small subunit ribosomal RNA", at positions 524 to 776 of the family's 1533-position model. The record is from RNAcentral.
UACGGAGGAUCCGAGCGUUAUCCGGAUUUAUUGGGUUUAAAGGGUGCGUAGGCGGCCUGUUAAGUCAGGGGUGAAAGACGGUAGCUCAACUAUCGCAGUGCCUUUGAUACUGCAGGGCUUGAAUGUACUUGAGGUAGGCGGAAUGUGACAAGUAGCGGUGAAAUGCAUAGAUAUGUCACAGAACACCAAUUGCGAAGGCAGCUUACUAAAGUAUGAUUGACGCUGAGGCACGAAAGCGUGGGGAUCAAACAGG